AACGCACAUUGCGCCCCCUGGUAUUCCGGGGGGCAUGCCUGUUCGAGCGUCAUUUCACCACUCAAGCCUCGCUUGGUAUUGGGCGUCGCGAGUCUCUCGCGCGCCUCAAAGUCUCCGGCUAGGCGGUUCGUCUCCCAGCGUUGUGGCAACUAUUCGCAGAGGAGUUCGAGUCGUCGUGGCCGUUAAAUCUUUCAAAGGUUGACCUCGGAUCAGGUAGGGAUACCCGCUGAACUUAA
RNAcentral lists this unclassified non-coding RNA (236 nucleotides) under Physcia sp. Its description in RNAcentral is "partial contains 5.8S ribosomal RNA, internal transcribed spacer 2, and large subunit ribosomal RNA". The stretch from base 1 to 52 matches the Rfam family "5.8S ribosomal RNA", at positions 103 to 154 of the family's 154-position model. The record is from RNAcentral. Lineage: Eukaryota; Fungi; Ascomycota; Lecanoromycetes; Caliciales; Physciaceae.